GACGAACGCUGGCGGCGUGCCUAAUACAUGCAAGUCGAACGCUGAAGGAGGAGCUUGCUUCUCUGGAUGAGUUGCGAACGGGUGAGUAACGCGUAGGUAACCUGCCUGGUAGCGGGGGAUAACUAUUGGAAACGAUAGCUAAUACCGCAUAAUAGUAGAUGUUGCAUGACAUUUGCUUAAAAGGUGCAAUUGCAUCACUACCAGAUGGACCUGCGUUGUAUUAGCUAGUUGGUGGGGUAACGGCUCACCAAGGCGACGAUACAUAGCCGACCUGAGAGGGUGAUCGGCCACACUGGGACUGAGACACGGCCCAGACUCCUACGGGAGGCAGCAGUAGGGAAUCUUCGGCAAUGGACGGAAGUCUGACCGAGCAACGCCGCGUGAGUGAAGAAGGUUGUCGGAUCGUAAAGCUCUGUUGUAAGAGAAGAACGAGUGUGAGAGUGGAAAGUUCACACUGUGACGGUAUCUUACCAGAAAGGGACGGCUAACUACGUG
Molecule: ribosomal RNA, 495 nt
Filed under: uncultured bacterium
Lineage: Bacteria
Description: partial 16S ribosomal RNA
Rfam family: Bacterial small subunit ribosomal RNA
Source: RNAcentral